AACCCCUGGCAGUGGGCAAAGAGACACUUUGUUGGUGGUGUUCUUAUAUCAGUCAGGGGCAGAGCAGUUGGCAGUCCUUUGCUCAUCCUAGCUUGAUGCCUGGCUGGGUGGACAAAGCUGUCUUAUGCCUAGGACUCAGAA
Small nucleolar RNA from Arvicanthis niloticus (Nile rat), 141 nucleotides. RefSeq annotates it as small nucleolar RNA SNORA48. The record is from RefSeq and is a predicted model, not a curated record. NCBI's taxonomy places the organism in Eukaryota, Metazoa, Chordata, Mammalia, Rodentia, Muridae.